RNAcentral lists this ribosomal RNA (457 nucleotides) under uncultured Gemmatimonas sp. Its description in RNAcentral is "bacterial SSU rRNA". It matches the Rfam family "Bacterial small subunit ribosomal RNA", at positions 338 to 795 of the family's 1533-position model. Lineage: Bacteria; Pseudomonadati; Gemmatimonadota; Gemmatimonadia; Gemmatimonadales; Gemmatimonadaceae. The record is from RNAcentral.
CCUACGGGGGGCUGCAGUGGGGAAUAUUGCGCAAUGGGCGAAAGGCUGACGCAGCGACGCCGCGUGGGGGAUGAAGCAUUUCGGUGUGUAAACCCCUGUUGCCCGGGACGAACAACUGGUUUCGACCAGUCUGACGGUACCGGGUGAGGAAGCACCGGCUAACUCCGUGCCAGCAGCCGCGGUAAUACGGAGGGUGCGAGCGUUGUCCGGAAUCACUGGGCGUAAAGGGCGCGUAGGCGGUCUGUUAAGCGUGCGGUGAAAGCCUGGGGCUCAACCCCAGGUCUGCCGUGCGAACUGGUGGACUUGAGCACUGUAGAGGCAGGUGGAAUUCCGGGUGUAGCGGUGGAAUGCGUAGAGAUCCGGAAGAACACCGGUGGCGAAGGCGGCCUGCUGGGCAGUAGCUGACGCUGAGGCGCGACAGCGUGGGGAGCAAACAGGAUUAGAUACCCUUGUAGUC